CUCUCUCUCUCUCUCUCUCUCUCUCUCUCUCUCUCUCUCUCUCCUCUGCUCUUUUCUCUUCUUCCCUUCCCCCUCACCAUGGUGCUUAUGACUUGGCCGGGCUCCUCAUGUUUCCUCCUGCUCACGGGUGGGCUGGCUGAGGACACGUGGAACCCUGAGCUCUGGGACCAGGUUUCUUUACAACAGCUCUGCAUUCUAUCUGCCUGAACGCCAACCUCUACACAUACCAACAGCUUUGGUGAAACAGGUUGGCUCCUAGCAGCAGUACUCUAUUUCCUUCAAAGAAGACAGAAGACAAAUGGGCACAAAACAACGUCCAUCCACAGUUCACUUCAACUGCCAAGCGCUGACCACUGGGAAAAACCACCUUUCAUCUAAACUGAAGAUCUCCAGACAGUGGAUAGAAUCUCUGGAACCAACAGCCUAGAUGCUCAGGUCAAGGAUUCUAUACCCAGUAAGCUCUGAGACAAGAGGUUUUCUACUCUGGCUGAUGGGAACCUGAGUCAUUGCCCACCUAUGUGAGUAAGAAGUAUUAUUUCCUCUAACUCUCCAUCAGCUUUAGGUGGUUUUCCUCCUUCUAGAUCCUGUUCAAAUGCUGGCUGAAAAUUUAACUAGGGUUCUUCGUUCUUCUCAGCUGUCUGUGCAGCCAUGUCCUCUCUCAUAGUCCUGAGAACUCUGCCCUGGUGUCCUGUAAUUCCAGUUACACCUCCUCAACUCAAGGAGACCUCCUCUCUGUGUCUUGGAAGAAACAUUUCAGGCAGAAAGUAGGGACUAGCAGGGAGUUCAGAUAAUUUGUUUUUCUUUCCUCAAGGGUCCCUAUCCUGCUGUCAAAACCCAUCAUAUCUUGCCCAUUUAUUUUUAAGUUUUUCAAAGAGACCCUGGUAGGUCUUU
Alexandromys fortis (reed vole) is the source of this 891-nucleotide long non-coding RNA. RefSeq lists it as uncharacterized. The record is from RefSeq and is a predicted model, not a curated record. NCBI's taxonomy places the organism in Eukaryota, Metazoa, Chordata, Mammalia, Rodentia, Cricetidae. The transcript is spliced from 3 exons.